This 497-nucleotide ribosomal RNA is filed under the name uncultured bacterium. RNAcentral describes it as "partial 16S ribosomal RNA". It matches the Rfam family "Bacterial small subunit ribosomal RNA", at positions 28 to 507 of the family's 1533-position model. The record is from RNAcentral.
GAUGAACGCUGGCGGCGUGCCUAAUACAUGCAAGUCGAGCGAACGGACGAGAAGCUUGCUUCUCUGAUGUUAGCGGCGGACGGGUGAGUAACACGUGGAUAACCUGCCUAUAAGACUGGGAUAACUUCGUGAAACCGGAGCUACUACCGGAUAAUAUUUUGAACCGCAUGGUUCAAAAGUGAAAGACGGUCUUGCUGUCACUUAUAGAUGGAUCCGCGCUGCAUUAGCUAGUUGGUAAGGUAACGGCUUACCAAGGCAACGAUGCAUAGCCGACCUGAGAGGGUGAUCGGCCACACUGGAACUGAGACACGGUCCAGACUCCUACGGGAGGCAGCAGUAGGGAAUCUUCCGCAAUGGGCGAAAGCCUGACGGAGCAACGCCGCGUGAGUGAUGAAGGUCUUCGGAUCGUAAAACUCUGUUAUUAGGGAAGAACAUAUGUGUAAGUAACUGUGCACAUCUUGACGGUACCUAAUCAGAAAGCCACGGCUAACUACGUG